UCACAAUGAUGAAACCGUCCAAACAUUCACAGUUUCCCCCAGAACUCGCCUUGUGCUGGUGCACUAGCUUCGUGCUCAGAUGUCUAAGUGA
This 91-nucleotide small nucleolar RNA is filed under the name Choloepus hoffmanni (Hoffmann's two-fingered sloth). RNAcentral's name for it is "Small nucleolar RNA SNORD14 (ENSCHOG00000014280.1)". Lineage: Eukaryota; Metazoa; Chordata; Mammalia; Pilosa; Megalonychidae. The record is from RNAcentral.